This 253-nucleotide ribosomal RNA is filed under the name uncultured bacterium. RNAcentral describes it as "partial 16S ribosomal RNA". It matches the Rfam family "Bacterial small subunit ribosomal RNA", at positions 524 to 776 of the family's 1533-position model. The record is from RNAcentral.
UACGAAGGGGGCAAGCGUUGUUCGGAAUCAUUGGGCGUAAAGGGCGCGUAGGCGGACUUGUAAGUCGAUUGUGAAAUCCCUGGGCUUAACCCGGGAAUUGCAGUCGAAACUGUAAGUCUUGAGUUCUCGAGAGGAUGGUGGAAUUCCUGGAGUAGUAGUGAAAUACGUAGAUAUCAGGAGGAACACCGGAGGCGAAGGCGGCCAUCUGGCGAGACACUGACGCUAAGGCGCGAAAGCGUGGGUAGCAAACAGG